This 72-nucleotide transfer RNA is filed under the name Mus musculus (house mouse). It matches the Rfam family "tRNA". From Rfam's summary of the family: Transfer RNA (tRNA) molecules are approximately 80 nucleotides in length. Their secondary structure includes four short double-helical elements and three loops (D, anti-codon, and T loops). Lineage: Eukaryota; Metazoa; Chordata; Mammalia; Rodentia; Muridae. The record is from Rfam by way of RNAcentral.
GGGGGUGUGGCUGAGUCAGAAGAGUGCUUGCCUAGCAAGCAGGAAGCCCUGGGUUUGACCCCUUUGCCCCCU